RNAcentral lists this ribosomal RNA (253 nucleotides) under uncultured bacterium. Its description in RNAcentral is "partial 16S ribosomal RNA". It matches the Rfam family "Bacterial small subunit ribosomal RNA", at positions 524 to 776 of the family's 1533-position model. The record is from RNAcentral.
UACGGAGGGUGCAAGCGUUAUCCGGAUUUAUUGGGCGUAAAGAGCUCGUAGGCGGCCUGUCGCGUCGACCGUGAAAACCCGCAGCUCAACUGCGGGCUUGCGGUCGAUACGGGCAGGCUGGAGUUCGGUAGGGGAGACUGGAAUUCCUGGUGUAGCGGUGAAAUGCGCAGAUAUCAGGAGGAACACCAGUGGCGAAGGCGACUUCCUGGCCUGUUCUUGACGCUGAGGCGCGAAAGCUAGGGGAGCAAACGGG